Molecule: ribosomal RNA, 429 nt
Filed under: Bacteroidota bacterium
Lineage: Bacteria; Pseudomonadati; Bacteroidota
Description: Bacteroidetes bacterium partial 16S ribosomal RNA
Rfam family: Bacterial small subunit ribosomal RNA
Source: RNAcentral
UAGGGAAUCUUCCGCAAUGGACGCAAGUCUGACGGAGCAACGCCGCGUGAGUGAAGAAGGAUUUCGGUUCGUAAAACUCUGUUGUUAGAGAAGAACAGCGCAUAGAGUAACUGUUAUGCGUGUGACGGUAUCUAACCAGAAAGCCACGGCUAACUACGUGCCAGCAGCCGCGGUAAUACGUAGGUGGCAAGCGUUGUCCGGAUUUAUUGGGCGUAAAGCGAGCGCAGGCGGUCAAUUAAGUCUGAUGUGAAAGCCCCCGGCUCAACCGGGGAGGGUCAUUGGAAACUGGUUGACUUGAGUGCAGAAGAGGAGAGUGGAAUUCCAUGUGUAGGGGUGAAAUGCGUAGAUAUAUGUAGGAAAACCAGUGGCGAAGGCGAUACUCUGGUUUGUUACAGACGAUGAGGUUCGAAAGCGUGGGUAGCAAACAGG